Mus musculus (house mouse) is the source of this 2256-nucleotide long non-coding RNA. RefSeq annotates it as predicted gene, 32093. The transcript is spliced from 5 exons. NCBI's taxonomy places the organism in Eukaryota, Metazoa, Chordata, Mammalia, Rodentia, Muridae. The record is from RefSeq and is a predicted model, not a curated record.
UGCGCCGCCGCUGCUGCUGCCUGCCCUUUGUGUGAGGACAGAUCAACUUUAAAAGCUUUUUUUCAGACAGCCUGAAUGCACUUCAUUUUACCAGAAAGAACUUUGUAUUGAUAGCUACAAGAAAGGAAGGUUGUUUAAAAAGGAAGGGGAGACAAUCGGGACAAAAUGAGGACUUAGGGUUUCUAUUAUGAACACGUCUGUCCAUUCUUCCUGUCUGUUUAUGCAUUCCCCACACAACAGUGUGUCUUUCCGUUCAUCUGCUUCCCCCUCACACUCUCCACAGUGGAAGAGGCCUCACAUCACGGCCGAGGUGAUAAAUACCACAGCAAUGUGGAUAUGAUGUCAAUUUGCAUUUGUCAGGAGGAUCAAGGUAAACUCGGGGGCUGAAAGCCAGAACACACCGCUAAUGCUCAUUCCUCCUUCUGCAGAUCCAGCCUUCCUCUAUGUUGCAUGGAAUGAAAGGAUUCCUCAGGACUUCUCCGUAUGUGUCACAGGCUUUUAUUGUCAGGGAAAAGGAAGUCACUCUGCACAGUGUCCAAGGAAGUCACCAGGUCCCUGUGGGCCCAGCUUCUAGCGGAGGAACUGCAAAUCUAAAAAAGGAAUUUGAGCUAGGUCUGACGGCUCAUAUAUUCAUUAUCAUUGCACUUGGAAACUGAAGGAGAAUAAUUACCAUGAGUUCAAAGCUAAUAUGAGCUACGCGUUCAGUUGAAAGUAGAACACAAACGGAGAUCGAUACAGUUUGCAUGUUUCUCUGUUACCCCAAGGUGACAAUUAUCUAAGAAGUCCUCUGAGGGUCUGGACCCCAAGCACAGCACGUCAGGACCACAGGAGACUCUUCAAAGAAGCUCAGAGUGUGAAGCUCAGAGUGUGAAGCUCAGAGUGUGAAGCUGAGUGUGAAGCUCAGAGUGUGAAGCUCAGAGUGUGAAGCUCAGAGUGUGAAGCUCAGAGUGUGAAGCCAGUAUGUGCUUAGGAUGUUACAUAGCAAGGCCAGCAGGGAACGCCCAAGCCCGAGGACAUGAGUUCAAACCCCGAGACCUGCUUGUAGAAGCAGGGAACGAACUUCCACAAGCUGUCUUCUGACCUCCACACGAAGGCCCCAGCGCAAAUUCGUGCACACACAAACACAAAAUGGACAAGUGUGAUAAAUAAUGAUAGCCAACACUAAAUAUUUAGUGUGCAGAGCUCUUUGUUGCCCAUUUGAUUUCACAAUGGCCCUAAGUCACAAGUGUUACGAACUAAACCAGAAGAACUAAACCACUGAAACAGUGCUUUCCCAGGUGUGUCCCAUACACCUUGAGAGCUCUCAGGGUUCCUCUGGGACCCCUCAACGUUCAGGCAAGGGAGAGCAAGCCUGUCUAGAGCCCCUGUAUCCACUUCCCUCUGAGCUCUUGGCCUUCACGUUCUAUUCUGAUUCGAGGAAAGAGUUUUUACAACUGAGAACAACAUAAAACUACCAGUCUGGUCUAGAGCUGUCCUCUCCCGGUGAACAUGCUGAGGAGCAGACCAGUCGAAUCAGUCUCAAGGUUGCGAGUGAGCACCACCAAGUCACAUUACUCCUGCUCUACCACGACACUCACGUCAUAAGAAAGUGACCAUAACCUGGAAGAUGUGAACGCCCACGGAAGCCCACACUGGCUGCCUGCGGCAGUGGCCAUUUGGAUGAGCUGGAGUGGAGACUGAGAGACGAGACAGACACAAAGCCAGAAUGUUUCACCUGCUAUUUAUUUUCAAACCUGCCUUGAUCAUAUUUUUUAAUUACUGUGAUUAAUUUUGCAUUAAGUUAUUUUAAAAAAUUAAAAUAUCACCCUUCCCAUAGUCCAGGGACCUUCAGGAAAAGUGGAAUAUCACUGAGUCCACAGACAAGUAGGCCCUCUGAAACUGCCUCAGGGACUUUCAACUUCAGCGCAAACUACAUACAUUUUGGUGAAGAAUGGAUUCCAGUAGGCUAGGCUGCCUUUGCAUCUAUAAUUGACUGGCUUUACCUCUGUACCUGACUACACUAUUCUGUGAUAAUGUCUAAGAGCAUUCAGGAAGUGUUCGCUGGUCUUUUCAGGUGCCAGUUGGUGAAAGAGUUUUAAAGCAUUGUGUUUAAAAUGCAACAUGACUCAUUUUUCAUUGUUGUUUAAUUUUGACAAUUUAUUCCAAGCUGUGGUGUUCAUGAAUCAAACUGAAUGCCAGGGGGCUAGCCGGCUUUUAUGGCUCUUGUUUUAAUAACCGUAUGGUAAUAUUUUUAUUAAAGCCAUCUUUGUAACCAAA